UGCAGAAUCCCGUGAACCAUCGAGUUUUUGAACGCAAGUUGCGCCCGAAGCCAUCAGGCCGAGGGCACGUCUGCCUGGGCGUC
This 83-nucleotide ribosomal RNA is filed under the name Prunus triloba. RNAcentral describes it as "partial 5.8S ribosomal RNA". It matches the Rfam family "5.8S ribosomal RNA", at positions 73 to 153 of the family's 154-position model. From Rfam's summary of the family: 5.8S ribosomal RNA (5.8S rRNA) is a component of the large subunit of the eukaryotic ribosome. It is transcribed by RNA polymerase I as part of the 45S precursor that also contains 18S and 28S rRNA. Functionally, it is thought that 5.8S rRNA may be involved in ribosome translocation. The record is from RNAcentral. Lineage: Eukaryota; Viridiplantae; Streptophyta; Magnoliopsida; Rosales; Rosaceae. RNAcentral also lists the same sequence under 1 other name.